RNAcentral lists this ribosomal RNA (768 nucleotides) under Funneliformis mosseae. RNAcentral's name for it is "eukaryotic LSU rRNA". It matches the Rfam family "Eukaryotic large subunit ribosomal RNA", at positions 38 to 648 of the family's 3401-position model. Lineage: Eukaryota; Fungi; Glomeromycota; Glomeromycetes; Glomerales; Glomeraceae. The record is from RNAcentral.
GCAUAUCAAUAAGCGGAGGAAAAGAAAAUAACAAUGAUUCCCUCAGUAACGGCGAGCGAAGAGGGAUAAGCUCAAAUUUUAAAUCUGUUGGGUUCCACUUUACAGAGUUGUAUUUUGAAGAAACUGUUUUCUGCGUCCAGGAUUAGCCUAAAUCCUUUGGGAUAAGGUAUCCUGGAGGGUGAGAAUCCCGUUCAUGGUUAAUCUUAAGGAAGCUCUACGAUACGUUUUCCAAGAGUCGAGUUGUUUGGGAUUGCAGCUCAAAAUGGGAGGUAAAUUUCUCCUAAGGCUAAAUAUUGGCGAGAGACCGAUAGCGAGCAAGUACCGUGAGGGAAAGAUGAGAAGAACUUUGAAAAGAGAGUUAAACAGUACGUGAAAUUGUUGAAAGGGAAACGAUUGAAGUCAGUCAUACCAACGGGAAAUCAACCUUUUGAGUUCGGUCUCGUGGGUUUUGAAGAGUUUCAAAGCCUUCGGAUUCGCGGGAUUGGGAUCUCUUGGCGUACUUUUUCGUACGGUUAGUCAACAUCGGUUUUGAAUGUCAUAAAAUGACUGGAGGAAUGUAGCUUCGAUCUCGUAUUGAAGUGUUAUAGCCUUUGGUAGAUGUGAUGUUUGAGACCGAGGAUUGCAACGGAUACCCUUCAGGGCUAUUCGUCUGAUCUCUGAUACGUUGCCUUGAUGUUGAAAGCUUGCUUAUGAUGUUAGGGUAUUACGGUCAAAAGGUUAGAACGAAUUACAUUCGCUAAGGAUGUUGACGUAAUGGCUUUAAACGAC